AGAUGUGAGGGAGAUCUGGCUGUGACAUUUGUCACCCCAUUGAUUAGCAGGGUUGACUCAGCUGAUCUGGCUGGCUAGGUGGCUGGCCUUUCCUCCCUCAUCUCUCCAUGUGCAUCCCUCUCAAAGCUGCAACUCGGUCAGAGAGGAUGACCUUCUCUGAUAGAGCAGGACGUUGUUCUGUCAUGGGUAUGCAAGUAGCUGUGUUUCUCUGUCAGAACCUCAGACAAGCUUUCAAGGUCCAUUUGUAGGAGACCAUAGGGUAGUUAAGCUUCCAAGACUCCAGACACAUCUAAAUGAGGUGCUACAUGUGGCAGUCUGCCUUUCUUU
This is a non-coding RNA of Equus caballus (horse), 327 nucleotides long. Lineage: Eukaryota; Metazoa; Chordata; Mammalia; Perissodactyla; Equidae. The record is from Rfam.